This 92-nucleotide transfer RNA is filed under the name Christensenellaceae bacterium. RNAcentral's name for it is "tRNA-Ser". It matches the Rfam family "tRNA". From Rfam's summary of the family: Transfer RNA (tRNA) molecules are approximately 80 nucleotides in length. Their secondary structure includes four short double-helical elements and three loops (D, anti-codon, and T loops). Further hydrogen bonds mediate the characteristic L-shaped molecular structure. tRNAs have two regions of fundamental functional importance: the anti-codon, which is responsible for specific mRNA codon recognition, and the 3' end, to which the tRNAs corresponding amino acid is attached (by aminoacyl-tRNA synthetases). tRNAs cope with the degeneracy of the genetic code in two manners: having more than one tRNA (with a specific anti-codon) for a particular amino acid; and 'wobble' base-pairing, i.e. permitting non-standard base-pairing at the 3rd anti-codon position. The record is from RNAcentral. Lineage: Bacteria; Bacillati; Bacillota; Clostridia; Christensenellales; Christensenellaceae.
GGAGAGUUGGCCGAGUUGGUCGAAGGCGCGUCACUGCUAAUGACGUAUAGUCCAAAAGAUUAUCACUGGUUCGAAUCCAGUACUCUCCGCCA